UUUCCCUCAGGAUAGCUGGAGCCCAUUACGAGUUCUAUCGGGUAAAGCCAAUGAUUAGAGGCAUCGGGGGCGCAACGCCCUCGACCUAUUCUCAAACUUUAAAUAGGUAGGACGGCGCGGCUGCUCCGGUGAGCCGCGCCACGGAAUCGGGAGCUCCAAGUGGGCCAUUUUUGGUAAGCAGAACUGGCGAUGCGGGAUGAACCG
RNAcentral lists this non-coding RNA (204 nucleotides) under Oryza sativa Indica Group (long-grained rice). RNAcentral's name for it is "rRNA LSU_rRNA_eukarya". It matches the Rfam family "Eukaryotic large subunit ribosomal RNA", at positions 967 to 1170 of the family's 3401-position model. Lineage: Eukaryota; Viridiplantae; Streptophyta; Magnoliopsida; Poales; Poaceae. The record is from Rfam by way of RNAcentral.